Long non-coding RNA from Brienomyrus brachyistius, 332 nucleotides. RefSeq lists it as uncharacterized. NCBI's taxonomy places the organism in Eukaryota, Metazoa, Chordata, Actinopteri, Osteoglossiformes, Mormyridae. The transcript is spliced from 3 exons. The record is from RefSeq and is a predicted model, not a curated record.
AGACAGUUGCCGCCAUAGGUUCGAUCGUGGCGCAUUCUGCUGCCAUGAGACAGUUGCCACCAUAGGUUCGAUCGUGGCGCAUUCUGCUGCCAUGAGACAGUUGCCACCAUAGGUUAGAUCGUGGCGCAUUCUGCUGCCAUGAGACAGUUGCCACCAUAGGUUCGAUCGUGGCGCAUUCUGCUGCCAUGAGACAGUUGCCACCAUAGGUUCGAUCGUGGCGCAUUCUGCUGCCAUGAGACAGUUGCCACCAUAGGUUCUGGGGCUCUCGUUCGCUCCAUCUGGCUGCCGUUUCCUUAUAGAGCACAGACAUGUACUUGCAAAUUUUAUCUGCA